GGGUUGUGAGGUUAAGCGACUAAGCGUACACGGUGGAUGCCCUGGCAGUCAGAGGCGAUGAAGGACGUGCUAAUCUGCGAAAAGCGUCGGUAAGGUGAUAUGAACCGUUACAGCCGGCGAUGUCCGAAUGGGGAAACCCAGUGCAAUUCGUUGCACUAUCGUUAACUGAAUACAUAGGUUAACGAGGCGAACCGGGGGAACUGAAACAUCUAAGUACCCCGAGGAAAAGAAAUCAACCGAGAUUCCCCCAGUAGCGGCGAGCGAACGGGGAGCAGCCCAGAGUCUGAAUCAGCUUGUGUGUUAGUGGAACGGUCUGGAAAGUCCGACGGUACAGGGUGAUAGUCCCGUACACCAAAAUGCACAGGCUGUGAACUCGAAGAGUAGGGCGGGACACGUGGUAUCCUGUCUGAAUAUGGGGGACCAUCCUCCAAGGCUAAAUACUCCUGACUGACCGAUAGUGAACCAGUACCGUGAGGGAAAGGCGAAAAGAACCCCGGCGAGGGGAGUGAAAAAGAACCUGAAACCGUGUACGUACAAGCAGUGGGAGCACCUUCGGGUGUGACUGCGUACCUUUUGUAUAAUGGGUCAGCGACUUAUAUUCUGUAGCAAGGUUAACCGGAUAGGGGAGCCGCAGGGAAACCGAGUCUUAACUGGGCGUUAAGUUGCAGGGUAUAGACCCGAAACCCGGUGAUCUAGCCAUGGGCAGGUUGAAGGUUGGGUAACACUAACUGGAGGACCGAACCGACUAAUGUUGAAAAAUUAGCGGAUGACUUGUGGCUGGGGGUGAAAGGCCAAUCAAACCGGGAGAUAGCUGGUUCUCCCCGAAAGCUAUUUAGGUAGCGCCUCGUGAACUCAUCUUCGGGGGUAGAGCACUGUUUCGGCUAGGGGGUCAUCCCGACUUACCAACCCGAUGCAAACUACGAAUACCGAAGAAUGUUAUCACGGGAGACACACGGCGGGUGCUAACGUCCGUCGUGAAGAGGGAAACAACCCAGACCGCCAGCUAAGGUCCCAAAGUCAUGGUUAAGUGGGAAACGAUGUGGGAAGGCACAGACAGCCAGGAUGUUGGCUUAGAAGCAGCCAUCAUUUAAAGAAAGCGUAAUAGCUCACUGGUCGAGUCGGCCUGCGCGGAAGAUGUAACGGGGCUAAACCAUGCACCGAAGCUGCGGCAGCGACACUAUGUGUUGUUGGGUAGGGGAGCGUUCUGUAAGCCUGCGAAGGUGGCCUGUGAGGGUUGCUGGAGGUAUCAGAAGUGCGAAUGCUGACAUAAGUAACGAUAAAGCGGGUGAAAAGCCCGCUCGCCGGAAGACCAAGGGUUCCUGUCCAACGUUAAUCGGGGCAGGGUGAGUCGACCCCUAAGGCGAGGCCGAAAGGCGUAGUCGAUGGGAAACAGGUUAAUAUUCCUGUACUUGGUGUUACUGCGAAGGGGGGACGGAGAAGGCUAUGUUAGCCGGGCGACGGUUGUCCCGGUUUAAGCAUGUAGGCUGGUUGUCCAGGCAAAUCCGGAUAAUCAAGGCUGAGGUGUGAUGACGAGGCACUACGGUGCUGAAGUAACAAAUGCCCUGCUUCCAGGAAAAGCCUCUAAGCAUCAGGUAACAUCAAAUCGUACCCCAAACCGACACAGGUGGUCAGGUAGAGAAUACCAAGGCGCUUGAGAGAACUCGGGUGAAGGAACUAGGCAAAAUGGUGCCGUAACUUCGGGAGAAGGCACGCUGGUGUGUAGGUGAAGUCCCUGCGGAUGGAGCUGAGACCAGUCGAAGAUACCAGCUGGCUGCAACUGUUUAUUAAAAACACAGCACUGUGCAAACACGAAAGUGGACGUAUACGGUGUGACGCCUGCCCGGUGCCGGAAGGUUAAUUGAUGGGGUUAUCCGUAAGGAGAAGCUCUUGAUCGAAGCCCCGGUAAACGGCGGCCGUAACUAUAACGGUCCUAAGGUAGCGAAAUUCCUUGUCGGGUAAGUUCCGACCUGCACGAAUGGCGUAAUGAUGGCCAGGCUGUCUCCACCCGAGACUCAGUGAAAUUGAACUCGCUGUGAAGAUGCAGUGUACCCGCGGCAAGACGGAAAGACCCCGUGAACCUUUACUAUAGCUUGACACUGAACAUUGAGCCUUGAUGUGUAGGAUAGGUGGGAGGCUUUGAAGCGUGGACGCCAGUCUGCGUGGAGCCAACCUUGAAAUACCACCCUUUAAUGUUUGAUGUUCUAACGUUGGCCCCUGACCGGGGUUGCGGACAGUGUCUGGUGGGUAGUUUGACUGGGGCGGUCUCCUCCCAAAGCGUAACGGAGGAGCACGAAGGUUAGCUAAUCCUGGUCGGACAUCAGGAGGUUAGUGCAAUGGCAUAAGCUAGCUUGACUGCGAGCGUGACGGCGCGAGCAGGUGCGAAAGCAGGUCAUAGUGAUCCGGUGGUUCUGAAUGGAAGGGCCAUCGCUCAACGGAUAAAAGGUACUCCGGGGAUAACAGGCUGAUACCGCCCAAGAGUUCAUAUCGACGGCGGUGUUUGGCACCUCGAUGUCGGCUCAUCACAUCCUGGGGCUGAAGUAGGUCCCAAGGGUAUGGCUGUUCGCCAUUUAAAGUGGUACGCGAGCUGGGUUUAGAACGUCGUGAGACAGUUCGGUCCCUAUCUGCCGUGGGCGCUGGAGAAUUGAGGGGGGCUGCUCCUAGUACGAGAGGACCGGAGUGGACGCAUCACUGGUGUUCGGGUUGUCAUGCCAAUGGCACUGCCCGGUAGCUAAAUGCGGAAGAGAUAAGUGCUGAAAGCAUCUAAGCACGAAACUUGCCCCGAGAUGAGUUCUCCCUGAGACUUUAAGUCUCCUGAAGGAACGUUGAAGACGACGACGUUGAUAGGCCGGGUGUGUAAGCGCAGCGAUGCGUUGAGCUAACCGGUACUAAUGAACCGUGAGGCUUAACCUUACAACGCCGAAG
RNAcentral lists this ribosomal RNA (2922 nucleotides) under Klebsiella pneumoniae. RNAcentral describes it as "23S ribosomal RNA". It matches the Rfam family "Bacterial large subunit ribosomal RNA". The record is from RNAcentral. Lineage: Bacteria; Pseudomonadati; Pseudomonadota; Gammaproteobacteria; Enterobacterales; Enterobacteriaceae.